RNAcentral lists this long non-coding RNA (1384 nucleotides) under Physcomitrium patens. RNAcentral's name for it is "long non-coding RNA (PPAT_LNC005065)". Lineage: Eukaryota; Viridiplantae; Streptophyta; Bryopsida; Funariales; Funariaceae. The record is from RNAcentral.
GAAAAUCUAAUAAUAAAUUAGUCAAGCUAUCUCUUAUACCACAAAAAGAGAAUCCAAGUGUGCAAGUGUAGAGGAAGAAUCCUAAAACUUUACUAAAUGGCUAAAUCACCAUAGCCAAGCAAAAUCUUACAAAUAUAAGCUUUCUUCUCAAAAACAAUCACAAGACUUAACUUGACAAGAAUGUUAAAUCAAGAGGGUUUUUCCUCCUAAAUCCUCAAAUCCUUAUUGACACUAACAAGGUCAAUUAACAUAAAAUGCUAAGUGGAUGAAAAUCCACUAUACUAAACUAGACUACAUCUAUCCAAUAUGAUUUGGCAUCGAAUGCCUAUCAUGUGAUAUAGAGUUUUUUUUACAAAGUAUUUUGAAUUAUUUCAAAAAUCCAUUUUGCCAUAGUUUAGAAGGUUAGCUUGGCUAUCAAAAAGAUUAUACAUUGCAAGAUUUGAAUCUUGUAAAUCAAACUAACUAUAUUUUCAAGUAUACAAUUCAAGAACAACCAAAGUUGGUGUCAAAUAGUCAAAGUUGGUAUCAUAUAAAUCAAAUAGUCAUUUGAUUUAUCUAGUGAAUGUGAUAAUUUCACAACAAACAACAUCAUUGAACUUAAACUUCAUAUUGAUUUCUACUUUCUUAAUAUUAAGAAUAAAAAAUAAACAUAAGCUCCAAUUAAAAUUGAUAAUAAAUAUGAACUUCAUUCAAAAUUUGGAAAAUCUCUCAAUUUCAUUUAUGUCAUAUAAAAUUAUUUAAAUUAUUUAAAAUAAAAUAUAAAAUAUCACACCUGGAUAUAAAAUACCAAAAUCUUAUUUUGUUAUAUAUUCACAAAAAACCUAGAAAGUACUAUAGAACUAAAAAAGUUUCUAUACAAAGAAGCCAACUUUUAAAAACUUUGGUUCAAAAGCCUUACCAAACUCUCUUAGUUGGUGAAGACAAGCCUUUCUUUAGAAGUCUUGGCCUUUAGAUAUAGUGUAAAGUUAAAAUAGAUCAUGAAAUAAAUCAAAUUAUUUUCCACUAUAAAUUUAAAUGUGUUAACUUAUAUAUUGAUUCUAAGAAGUAUAAAAGGUGUUUUUUUUUUUUUUUAUUUUUAAAGAAAUUUCCAACCUGGGUUCUUACAGAAAAGAAAUAUAUUCUAAAAUUUCCUUUAAAUAUAAUUCUGAAAAUCAUUUGGUUCUUUUUCUUCCAUAAAAAUAUUGAUUUAUCAUCAAAAGUAAGAUGAAGUAAAAAAGUUAAACUUUUUAAGUUAAAAGGUAAAAUUUGAAUCAUUUGAAUAGAUCAAAAUGACAUAAUAAAAGAAUAGUUGAAUAGGAAUACAUUGGGGGGGGUAGAAGGGGUGUUAGAAGGGCGAUGAAUGCCAUGCCUUGCCCUGUCUUUGCCUUGCUUUAUUAUGCCCCCC